Molecule: ribosomal RNA, 253 nt
Filed under: uncultured bacterium
Lineage: Bacteria
Description: partial 16S ribosomal RNA
Rfam family: Bacterial small subunit ribosomal RNA
Source: RNAcentral
UACGUAGGGAGCAAGCGUUGUCCGGAAUCAUUGGGCGUAAAGCGCGCGUAGGUGGCUUCGUAAGUCCGUUGUGAAAAUCAAAGGCUCAACCUUUGAAAGCCGAUGGAUACUGUGAAGCUAGAGUACGGAAGAGGCGAGUGGAAUUCCUGGUGUAGCGGUGGAAUGCGCAGAUAUCAGGAGGAACACCAAUAGCGAAGGCAGCUCGCUGGGACGUUACUGACACUGAGGCGCGAAAGCGUGGGGAGCGAACAGG